CCUACGGGAGUCAGCAGUAGGGAAUCUUCCACAAUGGGCGAAAGCCUGAUGGAGCAACGCCGCGUGGGUGAAGAAGGUCUUCGGAUCGUAAAACCCUGUUGUUAGAGAAGAAAGUGCGUGAGAGUAACUGUUCACGUUUCGACGGUAUCUAACCAGAAAGCCACGGCUAACUACGUGCCAGCAGCCGCGGUAAUACGUAGGUUGCAAGCGUUAUCCGGAUUUAUUGGGCGUAAAGGGAGCGCAGGCGGUCUUUUACGUCUGAUGUGAAAGCCGUCGGCUUAACCGGAGUAGUGCAUUGGAAACUGGGAGACGUGAGUGCAGAAGAGGAGAGUGGAACUCCAUGUGUAGCGGUGAAAUGCGUAGAUAUAUGGAAGAACACCAGUGGCGAAAGCGGCUCUCUGGUCUGUAACUGACGCUGAGGUUCGAAAGCGUGGGUAGCAAACAGGAUUAGAUACCCGGGUAGUC
This 465-nucleotide ribosomal RNA is filed under the name uncultured bacterium. Its description in RNAcentral is "partial 16S ribosomal RNA". It matches the Rfam family "Bacterial small subunit ribosomal RNA", at positions 338 to 795 of the family's 1533-position model. The record is from RNAcentral.